RNAcentral lists this transfer RNA (81 nucleotides) under Streptomyces xanthochromogenes. RNAcentral's name for it is "tRNA-Ala(ggc)". Lineage: Bacteria; Bacillati; Actinomycetota; Actinomycetes; Kitasatosporales; Streptomycetaceae. The record is from RNAcentral.
UGGAGCCUGGCCGACGACGACACCGUUCGGGCGCUCGGCAAGUGCCUGACGGCGACCGGUUCCGCUGCCGGCGGCUCCGCC